Silurus meridionalis is the source of this 463-nucleotide long non-coding RNA. RefSeq lists it as uncharacterized. The transcript is spliced from 3 exons. NCBI's taxonomy places the organism in Eukaryota, Metazoa, Chordata, Actinopteri, Siluriformes, Siluridae. The record is from RefSeq and is a predicted model, not a curated record.
UAUGGUACUCCGUGCUCGCUACAGCACCACACUGCGCAUGCGCGGCUAUUAGCGCGGCCAUUUUGUCCAUGCUUUUAAUUAAAUGACGUCAUUUUGUGUAAUUGUGUUGGAGCAGUGUGUCGGGGUGGAAAGAUGGAAACUGUGGAGCACACAGAGUCGUACUUUGACUUCAGCGUGUCUCUGCACUGGAGUUCAAUCAGCUCCAUUUAGAGACUCGAGUCCACUCCACUGAUGAAGAUUGACAGCUGGGCAGUAUCAGAUGUGUCACUGCUCUCAUCCACAGCAAGGGAAAGGAAAAUGUUCUGGAGCAGCCAGGAAGGAUCUUCCAGCCUGAUACUGCUGAAGAUAUGGCGAGGAUGGACGACAGCGAAACCUGGACAUCUCUGAAGAAGCAUACAUGUAAAAGUUUAGAUUGUGUUAUUUCACCCAUGUUUGAAUCACUAAUAAAAGCUGGCGUUAUUGU